RNAcentral lists this ribosomal RNA (564 nucleotides) under Streptomyces sp. 322B09. RNAcentral's name for it is "bacterial SSU rRNA". It matches the Rfam family "Bacterial small subunit ribosomal RNA", at positions 93 to 671 of the family's 1533-position model. Lineage: Bacteria; Bacillati; Actinomycetota; Actinomycetes; Kitasatosporales; Streptomycetaceae. The record is from RNAcentral.
UAGUGGCGAACGGGUGAGUAACACGUGGGCAAUCUGCCCUUCACUCUGGGACAAGCCNUGGAAACGGGGUCUAAUACCGGAUAACACUCUGUCCCGCAUGGGACGGGGUUGAAAGCUCCGGCGGUGAAGGAUGAGCCCGCGGCCUAUCAGCUUGUUGGUGGGGUGAUGGCCUACCAAGGCGACGACGGGUAGCCGGCCUGAGAGGGCGACCGGCCACACUGGGACUGAGACACGGCCCAGACUCCUACGGGAGGCAGCAGUGGGGAAUAUUGCACAAUGGGCGAAAGCCUGAUGCAGCGACGCCGCGUGAGGGAUGACGGCCUUCGGGUUGUAAACCUCUUUCAGCAGGGAAGAAGCGAGAGUGACGGUACCUGCAGAAGAAGCGCCGGCUAACUACGUGCCAGCAGCCGCGGUAAUACGUAGGGCGCAAGCGUUGUCCGGAAUUAUUGGGCGUAAAGAGCUCGUAGGCGGCUUGUUGCGUCGGUUGUGAAAGCCCGGGGCUUAACCCCGGGUCUGCAGUCGAUACGGGCAGGCUAGAGUGUGGUAGGGGAGAUCGGAAUUCCU